Non-coding RNA from Calycina marina, 95 nucleotides. The record is from the annotation of a GenBank genome assembly. NCBI's taxonomy places the organism in Eukaryota, Fungi, Ascomycota, Leotiomycetes, Helotiales, Pezizellaceae.
GCCCGGCUGGCACAAUUGGUUAGCGCGUGGGCCUUUUAUAGCUCCCCAAAAGAGUUAAAGGUAGCCCAAGGUUGAGAGUUCGAGCCUCUCGUGUA